GACGAACGCUGGCGGCGUGCUUAACACAUGCAAGUCGAGCGGUAAGGCCCUUCGGGGUACACGAGCGGCGAACGGGUGAGUAACACGUGGGUGACCUGCCUCUAGCUCUGGGAUAAGCCUGGGAAACUGGGUCUAAUACCGGAUAUGACUCCACGGCGCAUGUUGCGGGGUGGAAAGCCUUGUGUGGCUAGAGAUGGGCCCGCGGCCUAUCAGCUUGUUGGUGGGGUGAUGGCCUACCAAGGCGACGACGGGUAGCCGGCCUGAGAGGGCGACCGGCCACACUGGGACUGAGACAACGGCCCAGACUCCUACGGGAGGCAGCAGUGGGGAAUCUUGCGCAAUGGGCGAAAGCCUGACGCAGCGACGCCGCGUGAGGGAUGACGGCC
Molecule: ribosomal RNA, 386 nt
Filed under: uncultured bacterium
Lineage: Bacteria
Description: bacterial SSU rRNA
Rfam family: Bacterial small subunit ribosomal RNA
Source: RNAcentral